UACGUAGGGGGCUAGCGUUGUCCGGAAUCAUUGGGCGUAAAGAGCGUGUAGGCGGCCCGGUAAGUCCGCUGUGAAAGUCGGGGGCUCAACCCUCGAAUGCCGGUGGAUACUGUCGGGCUAGAGUGCGGAAGAGGCGAGUGGAAUUCCUGGUGUAGCGGUGAAAUGCGCAGAUAUCAGGAGGAACACCGAUUGCGAAGGCAGCUCGCUGGGACGUUACUGACGCUGAGACGCGAAAGCGUGGGGAGCAAACAGG
RNAcentral lists this ribosomal RNA (253 nucleotides) under uncultured bacterium. RNAcentral's name for it is "partial 16S ribosomal RNA". It matches the Rfam family "Bacterial small subunit ribosomal RNA", at positions 524 to 776 of the family's 1533-position model. The record is from RNAcentral.